GUGCCUACUUUUUUUGAAACAUUUCUGGUUGUUUUGGUAGAUGAGGAGGGAAUUGUUAGAGCAGACGUUCCUUUUAGAAGAGUAGAAUCCAAAUAUAGUGUUGAACAAGUAGGCGUAACGGUGGAGUUCGCCACAUUAACUUAG
Molecule: ribosomal RNA, 144 nt
Filed under: Triticum aestivum (bread wheat)
Lineage: Eukaryota; Viridiplantae; Streptophyta; Magnoliopsida; Poales; Poaceae
Description: partial small subunit ribosomal RNA
Source: RNAcentral